This is a long non-coding RNA of Oncorhynchus masou masou (cherry salmon), 482 nucleotides long. RefSeq lists it as uncharacterized. The record is from RefSeq and is a predicted model, not a curated record. Lineage: Eukaryota; Metazoa; Chordata; Actinopteri; Salmoniformes; Salmonidae. The transcript is spliced from 4 exons.
CUGGCUGAGAAAGUGGCAACAGCACAGGAGACCGAGGAGGGAGUCACCGAGGACGGGAUCGAUGACUCCUUCGAGGUGCUGUGUGAGAUUCAGGAGGUGGUAAAGACUGGUCUGUGGGUGGGAGACUGUUUCAUCUACACCAGCUCUGUCAACAAACUCAACUACUACCUAGGAGGAGAGAUUGUCACCAUCGCCCACCUGGACAGGGUGACCGUCUGUAUCUGGGUGAUAAGGAGCUUAACAUCGUCACUUACUCUCUGCUGGUGUCGGAGUACUAGACAGCUGUAAUGAGGAGGGACUUUGGGAUGGCCGACAGGGUCCAACCCACCAUCCCUAAAGAGAUGAGGACCAGGGUCGCCCACUUCCUAGAGAAACAGGGUUUCAGGCGGCAGGCCCUGACUGUGUCAACAGACUCAGAACACAGGUUUGAGUUGGCUCUGCAUCUAGGAGAACUGAAGAUCGCCUACCAGCUGGCUGUGGAG